CUAAUUAAACCUGAUCUUCAUGAAUCUAAGCAAGCAAGUUAUUAACCAAAAAUGGUUCAAACUCGUUGAGUAAUUAUCCUAAAACAUGUUGUAUAUUUGAUACACAUUUGUAAGCAAACUAAACUGAACUACUAGAAUGAUUAUUACUGCAUCAUAAACAUUAUUUAACUAGCAUACGUAGGAAAAGGGUUUGCAAGCUAACUACUGUGGAUCAAUACUUAUUUGUACAUAACAGACUACUCAUAUGAUUCUAAGAAAAAACUAAUGACUACAUAUCAUAUAACUUAGUAUACAAAACCACAACUAAAUAACUUCGGAGUUUUAAGACUUCGUUUCAUUCAUGCUUCAAGUUUCAGUUACAAGUGUACCGGUAUAGCAAUGUGUACCUAAUAUUUGGAAUAAAAAAGGAGAAGGAAAGUCAGUGAUGGCAGCAGCAGUAGCAUACAUAGCGCAACAACAAAUAUAACCAGCGAUAACCAGCAACAAGUAGCAGAAAAACCCAAGGACGGACUUGAAAACCAAGCAGAAAAUCCCAACGGAAAUAGUAUCCAGCACCAAUUUUGAAAAACCUACAAAAUUAUAGCAGAACCAGUAGAGCAAUAGCAAAUGACCCAGUAGCAAAAUACUAGAAGAUUUCAAGAAUACAAGGGAAUAGUAAGCUUUUGCUUUUUUCAGUUUUUAACCCUCAAAACUCUCUUUUGACUCUCAAUUUAUCUUAACAGAUUGUUCUCCCCCUUUUCUAAGUGUCAAAUGACUCUUAUUUAUAUCUAACAUCAGACUCUCCCCCUCCCCUCAUUAAUUAUUAUUACCCUUCCAAUUACCCUCCCUUUCCUUUAAUUUUCAGCCCCCCAAAUAUUCUCUUCUAUGUCUCUUUUUUAUAACCUUUAAUCAUUACUUAACUAUUUAUAAUUUCAAUUAAGUAAACACUCUCAUUACUUAGUGCCCCUUACCAAUUAGUUCAAAUUAAAGCUAUUAGGGCCCCACUGGAUAGACUACUCGGUCAAACCAGAUUUAUUUAUUUUUCUAUUCCUAAAACACCCCUGAAAUUCUACUGCAAUUAUUGCCCUGCCGUUAACCAUUAAUCAGCAUUAAACUAAUUAAAUCUACAUGAAUCCGAACAAACUGCACAUAUUAAUCUUCUAAAUAUGCAGCUAUACCCUAUUCAUAAACCUAAAAUCACAUAAUGAUUCAGACAAUCAGAAAAUAUGCUGAAAUUAUACUAGAAUAAAACAAAAUCAAUGCCUCUGUAAUUCUCAAGCACAUUUCAAUGACGACACUUAUUUAAUUGACCAAAUAGGCCACAAUGUACAACAAUUAUCGACAAACAAUUAACAGAAAAUCUACAUGUGAUUCGAGUAGUACUUGACAGAAAUAGUGGAUUAUAAUACAAUCAGCUAAUCGACGACACUAAUCAAAUCGAUUACAAACAUAUAAUCGAUAAAAAAUAAUCGACACACAAACAGUGGACAUAUGGCAUUCGGACAAAACAGGAAAAAUAUGAAACAAAUCAUUCGACAAUACUAAUCGAAUCGAAUAUGUAUUCUAUAACAAACACAUCAAACACAAACAACAACGGCCAAAUAAAAGGUAUCAUGGAGGAGAAACAGAACAGUUCGACAAGAACAAACCAAAAGGUAAAAAUAACAAAACUUAAACUAAAUGUACAUUAUGAAUAAAAAUAGAAGAAAAAGAAGAAGGAAUACCUUAGAAAACAUUAAGAAAUCAAACAUCUUGGGCCAAAUUUAGAUUUUGAAACUUUGAGGUCAAACAGACCUUAAUCGUGUGUUCUCAAUUGAGAACACUUCGACUAUGGUCUCUUAAACACUCGAACUAUCUUAAUUUGGACAUUCAAACCACGCUUGAAUUUAUAGGGUUCUUGGGGCUGGGAUUGGGGUUCGAGUAGUUCAGGUUAGAUUCAAAUCAAAGCAACCAUGGAUUGGUAACGAGGGAGGCUAGGGGAAGGUCUUGUAUGAUUUUGGGUCCGGCUGGGGUUGUUUUGUAUUUUACUCGAAUCUUCGAUUGAAGAUUCGAGAAGCUACAACAUGAUUCGAAGUUAACGGGGCAUGGAUUCGUGGAGAGGGGAGUUAGGAGGUUCCGUGGUGUUGAUUUGGUGGCAAAAGAGAACGGCGGCGCCGUGUUUUCAGGCGAGGGGAGGGGUGGUGGCUAGCUAGGGUUCUUGGGGUGUUUGGUUUUGGUGAGAGAUACGAAUGGGGAAGGGGUCGUUUGGGAAUGAACGGGUGAAAGGGGUUGGGAGAUUUUUGGGUAGGUUCGAAUGUGAUAAUUGAUUUGAG
RNAcentral lists this long non-coding RNA (2291 nucleotides) under Nicotiana benthamiana. RNAcentral describes it as "long non-coding RNA (NBEN_LNC041531)". The record is from RNAcentral. Lineage: Eukaryota; Viridiplantae; Streptophyta; Magnoliopsida; Solanales; Solanaceae.